RNAcentral lists this ribosomal RNA (492 nucleotides) under uncultured bacterium. RNAcentral describes it as "partial 16S ribosomal RNA". It matches the Rfam family "Bacterial small subunit ribosomal RNA", at positions 29 to 507 of the family's 1533-position model. The record is from RNAcentral.
AGUGAACGCUGGCGGUAGGCCUAACACAUGCAAGUCGAACGGCAGCACAGUAAGAGCUUGCUCUUACGGUUGGCGAGUGACGGACGGGUGAGGAAUACAUCGGAUUCUACUUAUACUUGGGUGAUAACGUAGAGAAACUUACGCUAAUACCCCAUAUGUCCAACGGGUGAAAGCAAGAGAUGUUGGCAUUUUGCGCGAUUGUAUUAGCUGAUGUCGGAUUAGCUAGUUGGCGGGGUAAAGUCCCACCAAGGCGACGCUCCGUAGCGGGUCUGAGAGGAUGAUCAGCCACACUGGAACUGAGACACGGUCCAGACUCCUACGGGAGGCAGCAGUAGGGAAUAUUGGACAAUGGGCGCAAGCCUGAUCCAGCAAUACCGCGUGAGUGAAGAAGGCCUUCGGAUUGUAAAGCCCUUUUGUUAGGAAAGAAAAACAGCAGGUUAAUACACCGCUGUUCUGACGGUACCCAAAGAAUAAGCACCGGCUAACUUCGUG